CCUACGGGCGGCUGCAGUGGGGAAUAUUGGACAAUGGGCGAAAGCCUGAUCCAGCCAUGCCGCGUGUGUGAAGAAGGCCUUCGGGUUGUAAAGCACUUUCAGUGGGGAAGAAAGCCUUGGGGCUAAUACCCUCGAGGAAGGACAUCACCCACAGAAGAAGCACCGGCUAACUCCGUGCCAGCAGCCGCGGUAAUACGGAGGGUGCGAGCGUUAAUCGGAAUUACUGGGCGUAAAGCGCGCGUAGGCGGUCUGAUAAGCCGGUUGUGAAAGCCCCGGGCUCAACCUGGGAACGGCAUCCGGAACUGUCAGGCUAGAGUGCAGGAGAGGAAGGUAGAAUUCCCGGUGUAGCGGUGAAAUGCGUAGAGAUCGGGAGGAAUACCAGUGGCGAAGGCGGCCUUCUGGACUGACACUGACGCUGAGGUGCGAGAGCGUGGGUAGCAAACAGGAUUAGAUACCCUGGUAGUC
Molecule: ribosomal RNA, 465 nt
Filed under: Vreelandella stevensii
Lineage: Bacteria; Pseudomonadati; Pseudomonadota; Gammaproteobacteria; Oceanospirillales; Halomonadaceae
Description: partial 16S ribosomal RNA
Rfam family: Bacterial small subunit ribosomal RNA
Source: RNAcentral